UUACUCUGCCAACUAGGUCCAAACCCACCUUGCCAGCAAGCAUCCUAAUAACAUUUAGCCUUUAAACCAAAUUAUUUAAAAUUUCCUACAAUUCCCAAAUCAUCGUCUUCCACGACAACUUCGCAGAACCCCACCUACACCUUUCGUUAAUUCUUUUGAUUUGUUUCUUUAUGUAUGUUUCUAUCUUCUUACUUUCUUUCCUUAAUUGUUUUCAUCUUCAAAUUUGUGAAAAAAUUUCGAUUUUUACUUCCUUUUAGAGCCGAGAUUUUAGCCCCAAUUUUAGCUCAAGCCGCUGUCAUGAUUGGCAUGCUCUUCUUUCCAUUUCGACAUUCGCAGAUUCAAGUCAAUUGGAUGAAUGUGGACAGAUUUUCGGGUAAGUGCUUCACCUAUUCUUCGCUUUCUUGUAUUGAUUAGAUUGUAAUUUUGGAAACUCAAUUACCAAUAUUCUCUUCUGAUUUUUUGGUUUGUGAAGAAGGUUACUUUUCUAAUUUUACUGAUUAUGUAACGCAACGUUUCCAAUAAUCAUAAUCUCUAUCUGUCAAAAUCAAUCAUCAAACGUUCAUUUUUUACUCCAAUUUCGCUUCAAUCCCCAAAUCCUUGCCUAACGAGAAUUUUGAUACACGAUAGUAUGAUUCUUUUCUAUUAUAGGGACACACUCUUAAGUCUAAUUAUUCUCUACUAUAAAUACUGACUAGUUCUAUGCGCUAAGGGGGAUUUUUCAUGAAUUAUUUAUACAUUUCUACCACAACUUAUAAGUAUACACUUGAUUCAUCUCUAUACCCCCUUUUUCUACUACGGCAUAUGGGUUAUAGUUACACUUUAUUCACAUCUGCUUGCAAGGCUUGCGACUGAACUUUCACAUCCCUACACUACAUAUUCAACCGAUUGAUCAUUGCUUUGAUUUUCUCUUUCUAGUUUCUGUCCUUGCACUAUUAUUUCGAUUCCGCUAUUUUAUUACUAUGCUGGCUGCAAGUCAAAGCAGAGAUUAGCUUUCUCUCAUUACUGGUACUGCUAUUGUUGCUCCUCCAUCAACACGAAACUUGAUUGGUGUUCAUCGAGACCUUAGAAAAUACAAAGUUGUCAAGAGCUUGGGGCUUUCUGCGCUUACUUCAUUCCGGUGGUUAUAGCUUAUAUUUCAAAUUUAGUACCAAUACAUAUAUGGUUUUCUUUACUUUUUCGAUUAUUCGCACUUGGCAAACAGGUAAGUUUCUUGCCUCUCGCAUAUUACUUUUUCUCUAUGUGCAGUUGUGUGUAGAUUUGUUCUUUUUUUUAUAUGUUCGAGUGCUCUUAAGCAUUCUGCUGGAAGAAACGAGAUGUGUCCCCUUGUCUUUUGCAUUUUUUACUGUGUGUAUGCCGAAUGUCAGAUUACUUUUCUUUUUGUGUCUUUGGUUCGGCUGUGCGGAUGUGAAUGCUUUAAGCAUUCUGUUUGGAAGCAAAACAGGUUAGUACCUCGUCUUUCGCUUUCAGUCCCGAUGUGUAAUAAGAGUAGUCGGACUUAUGCGACCUAAUCUGAACGAAUCCUCUAUUGUGUAGAGAUCAAGUGUAUACAUUUAUGUUUCACAUGCUUAAGAAUUUUAAUCACCUAAUCAUUUUCUAGGAUUGAACUAAUUAAUGGCGACAAGUGUGAAUUUCAUACCCAACAAGCAAUUCAUGAGUUCUGCUAAGAUGCCCCCUAAGGUGAAUAAUAACAGUAAGACAUACUUUUUGUUAAGGCCCAAGUCUAGUAACAUCCUGUAUUUGUUCUUGCGAUUUGAAUUUAGCUCGAAAUCAUGGAAAGCCUUUUUUGAAUGCAUAACGAUCAUGUUUGUAGGGAAAUACAUCGGUAAUUAAGCCCGAAGUCUGCUUCUAUGGUAAAUUAACCUGCAAUAUAUGUCUUCUUUGUGUAAAUGGGGCAUAUUUUUGAUGUUUGAGUCAAGUUGGGAGUCGCAUGUGAUUGGGAAAGCCAAGAUGAUUUGUUUCGAAGUUCAUGUUUGCCUAUUUAGUUUCUCGAACUCUGGAUUGUAAACUCUAUUCAAUUGGCAUGUAAUAACUUGAUAUGAUAAUGAAUUGGGGACUAUUGGGAUGGAGUGACUAAUUGCUCUCUGUGUUUCUUGACCUUUUUUAAAAAAAAGUUUAAAUAGCAUCUCUAUUAUAGUACCUAUUAUAGCUUAGCAGAUACAUCUAGCUAUAAGAUAAAGAAGCUUUUGUCUAAUUCUAUGCUGAACAAUGGCUCUCGUUCGUGAUAGUAAUAUAGGUUUUUGAAAAACACCAAGUUUUCUGCAUUUUGCUACUCAAAUCUUUUGUAAAUAUUUAACAAACAUCUCAAGUGUUGAAGCUUCUGGGCCACUUGCAUAAAAUGAGUAGAACCUAUUCCAUAUAUUGUUGAACUUCAUUUUUCAGAGAAAAGAAAUAAAUUUUUAGUACCUAACUAGAAUACAUCUUUGGGCUUGUCCAACUAUUUCUUCUCCCUUAUCAUAAUGCUUGGGCACGUUACCUUAGCAUUUAUCUCAAUGAUCAGUUCUUUCAAUUUGAAUUGCCCAGUUCAUCUCCUUGAAUAAGCUUUGAUCUCCUUCAUUUUACUACUCUUACAUCUAAUACCUACUACAUUCGUGUUUAUUAUUAUCAUGCCUUUGAAUCUUAAAAUUAGAAAAUUUCACUAUAUCUUAAGAGCUUAUUUUCUUACUAUACUAAUUAUUACUUGUUUACUUAAUUAAUUCGGAGGCCUACGUGAGCCCUUACUUGCCUUAUGUGUUACUUGGUUAAGUCCUAAUGUGCUCCCUUUUAUGUGACGCUAAUAAGAAUAGAAAUUGAAACCUGAGCUUUUCUUUAAGUCUAAAAUUUCCCUUUAGAUAGUGUCCAACGCCUCCUGGACUAUAGGAAGGGACAGGUAGUUUUGAAUUAAGACGUGAUUUAGAAUUAAUUAGUGCGUUCUUAGGUUAACAAUUUAAAGAUAGUAAUGAGAGUAGCGGACAUGAUACAUAAAUUGCCCAAAUAGUCAUUGCACUUUUGGCUAUAAAAGUCUUAGCAGACUUUGCUCGAGAGUUGAUAUGUUAGGCUUAAAAACUUAGGUCCCCCUUUAACAUAAUCAAUUAGUCUUUCAUAAAAAUAUUUAUUACAACUCUUACAUGUUUUUAUUCUUUUCAUGAUCAGAUUUAAUUAAUUUAUGUGCUUUCCGUUGAUGUGCAUAUUUGACCACCUACGAUUAAUUAACAAUUUAGCAACCUAGUUUAACUUAAUAAAUCCUACAUAGUGUAUAAUUCGGUCGGGACCCACAGUUGUGGACCUCUAAGAGUGCCUAACAUCUUCUCUUUGAGGUAAUUUGAGCCCUUACCCGAUCUUUGGUGACACAGACUAGUUCAAACAGAGUUAUUUACAAGUAGGUGCCCUAACGCACCUUAAAAACCGUUAAGUGGCGACUCUCCUCUUUUAAUACCCAUUUAAAAGAGUUGUCACCAUGUCGAAGCCCGCUUUCGCGAGAAAAUGGGGCGCGACAGGAGUAUUUGCAUCCACAUCUCUCACAAAAGCCAAAUAUGACAAAUACCCCUUCCUAACCAUACGCUGGGUUUUCAAAUAAGAAAUUACCCUGCUGUGAACCUGAUCUAGAGAACCUCUCCAUUCGACCUUCGACAACCCUGGCAUCACCAACGUCACGUUUUUUGCGUGACAGUCCAGAAUAGCAUGACAUGGAGACAACCAAUCUAUACCCAGGAUUACAUCGAAAUCAACUAUAGUAAGCAGUAAGAGAUGAACUCUAGUCUCUAGUCUCCCAAUAGUUACCACACAAAACCGAUACACAUGGUCCACGAUAAUAGUAUCGCCCACCGGCAUAAAUACACAAACAGGUGAAACUAAGGACUCACGGGGCAUAUCCAGNNNNNNNNNNNNNNNNNNNNNNNNNGGCAUACUGAGACAAUACCUGUGAUCACUGCAUCUGAAGCAACAACAUCUGGCCUGGCAAGAAAAGUAUAGAAUCGGGCCUGACCGUUACCUGAUCGGCCUUCUAGAUGACUGAGCCCUACCCCGAGCUGGCUGGGCAGAUAGCAACUGGUACAAAAGUAGUAGUUUGACUCCUCUACUGAACUGGACCUCGAGUAAGGCGGGGAAAAAAUUUUCUCACAUGACCCAACUCUCCAUACUCAUAACACUUCCUCUCGAAGAAUGGUGGCGAGUUCUGAGGCGGACCUCCAGAACCGGAAUAAUUACUAGAAAAACCUUGUAUAGAUGAUCCCUGAACUGAAGGAGCAUGGGGCGUACUCUGGGCUGGAAGGGCAUCGAAAGAUGACUGACCCUGAUGAGAACUGUAUAAACCAUGGCUGGAUGAUGCACCACAGUGAACUAGACGACCCCUUUGAGCGUGUAUGUAAGAAAGACCCCUACCGCGGUAAAACUGACCCCCUGAAGGGACACCGCUGAAACCACCUGGUCCACGAGACCUCUUGGCCUCCCUCUAUCCACGUUCCUAGCUACUGACCAUUUCUAUCUGCCGAGCAAUGUCAACUACCUCAUCAAAAGUAGCACCAGAUACCCUAUCCCUAGUCAUAAGUAAUUGUAGCUGAUAUAUGAGGCCAUCAAUGAACCUUCUAAUCCUCUCCCUAUCAGUGGGAACCAACAAAACUGCGUGACGAGCCAACUCAGAAAAUCUCAUCUUGUACUGCGUCACAGACAUGUCAUCUUGACGUAAUUGCUCAAACUGCCUGCGCAACUCCUCUCUACAAGACUACGACACAAACUUCUCCAAAAAGAGAACAGAGAACUCUUGCCAUGUAAGUGGUACUGCACCGACUGGCCUGCGUCUCUCAUAAUCCUCCCACCAACUAAAGGCAGCUCCAGAAAAUUGAAAAGUAGCGAACGAGACCCUACUGGUCUCCAAAAUACCCGAUGUCUGAAGCAUCCGCUAGCAUUUAUCUAGAAAACCCUGAGCAUCCUCUGACUCAGCACCGCUAAAUGAUGGAGGCCGAAGCUUCCCAAAUCUCUCAAGUCUCCUCUGCUCAUCAUCUACCAUAAUGGGGACUACUGGGGCCUGAGCAACUGCAGCUGGCUGAAUUGGUAGUGCCCCCGGUAUCUGAAGUCCCUGCACUACCUGAUCUGGAGUACGAGCAAUAGGGGUAUGAGUACCUCCCCCGGCCUGAGAAGUGGAAGGUGCGGCCUGAGCCGAAACCACCUGAGCAAGGCCAGUGCAAACUGUCAAUAUCUAGGCCAGAGCCUCCUGAAAGCCUGGAAUUACAAUGGGCACAACUGGUACCUGAGAUGGUCCUGUCGGCUCAUUUAUAUAUAGAAUCUGCUCCUGAGCUGGAGAAACCGAUGGUGCUACAGGUGCUGCUCCAACUGCUGUACGAGCUACACCUCGAACUCUACCUCGGCCCCAGACUCUACCAAGGCCCCGGACUCUCACGGCCAUAACUGAUGGUACUGGUAGCUGACUAUCCGAUCCGUUAGUACGUGUCCUCACCAUCUGUGAGAGAAUAUAAUAACAGAAAUUUAGUUUCCAGAAUCAACAAAUUCGCACGACAGAAUACAAGAAAGUAAAAUUUUUCCAAGGGUUUGACAGCCUCUCGAAGAUAAGUACAGACGUCUGCGUACCGAUCCUCAAGACUCCACUCAACCUGCUCAAGAAUCGUGAGACCUAUAUAACCUAGGCUCUAAUACUAACUUGUCACGACCCAAAAUCUCACCUGUCGUGAUGGUGCCUAUCUCAAUACUAGGCAAGCCGACAAUCUCAAUAAACCACCAUAUCUUUUGAGUUUGAAAAUAUAAUAAUUAAAUUCAGUGGAAGAAAUCUCACAAAUACAAAUAUAAACAUUCCCAAAACCCGGUGUCACUGAGUACAUGAGCAUCUAAAUGAAUAAAAAGUCUGACUGAUAAAAAAAAUCGUUGUUUGAAAUAUAGAACAGUAAAAUAACUAAACAGGAAGGGAAUCAAGUCCGCGGACGUCAAGCAGCUACCUUGAUAGUCUCCAACAAAAGUAAUUCUGAAAUCUAGCAGCCGUCGUAUCCGGAAGCAUCUGGAUCUGCACACGAGGUGCAGAUUCUAGUAUGAGUACAACCAACUCAAUAAGUAAUAAAACUAACCUCUCGGUUGAAAGUAGUGACGAGCUCUGUGAGUACAGUCCAGUAUAAAUAGUGGUACCAAAAUGUAGGCAUGUUUUCAAGUUCAACAGUUAAACUCAUUACAAGUGAAAUGGAUCAAUACUAUAUGAUAUGAGGAAUAUGACAUCUCAGUAGAAAGGCCUCAUGUAAAUACUAGUCACAAAUUAUUCGGUCACUCAAUACUGUUUAUGGCCAAUCCAGCCCAGGUAUAUUCCGUCCCGUAUAUAUAUACACAUCAAUUGACAACCAGUUACUCAGUACCGUAUAAGGCCAAUCCAGCCCUGGGUAAUUUAUCCCCAAUGUAAAUUAUACGGACAAGAUCCAUGUCCAGGAAAAAUUCAUCACUACAUAUAAAUAAGUAAGGUAAGUCCAUGCCCUGGGAAGUCCAUCCCGAAUAUAUAUAAUCAUCUACGCUUACUGGGGUGUGCACAGACUCCGGAGGGGCUCCUUCAGCCCAAGCACUAUAUAAAGCCGAUAUGGCCUACUACGGCGUGCAGUCCGAUCCCAUAAUAAUAAUAAAGCCUAUAAGGCUUGCUGCAAUCGGGCAUCUCCUAUCCAUAUAAUAAUAAUAUAUAUAAAGCCAAUAUGGCCUACUGCGGCGCGCAACUCGAUCCCAUAAAUAUCCUCACAAUGGAUGAAUAUGACUGAGUGUGAAAUGUACAUUUUUAAAACAAUUAAUUCAACAUCAACACAACCCCAUCGAUUUUAAAAUAUUGGCACGUAGCCUAAACNNNNNNNNNNNNNNNNNNNNNNNNNAAGUCACAAUUUCAAUGGUGCACAUCCAUACGCUCGUCAACUAUCGUGUGCGGCACCUCCAAACAAUUAUUAUAACAACAAUUUGGGGAUUCAUACUUUCAGAACCAAGUUUUGAAGUAUUACUUACCUCAAAGCCGCGUAAUUUCUUACUCCGCUAUGUCCUUGCCUCGUGAAUUGGUCCCUAAAUGUCCCGAAUCUAGCUAUAAGCAGUGCAGUAUAAUCAAUAUAGGCUAAAGGAAUCAAUUCCACAAGAAAAUACGAAAUUAUAGCCAAAAUUUGAAAUCGUCUCAAACACCCCCCGGGUCCCAUGUCUCGAAAUCCGACAAAAGUCACAAAACCCGAAAGCCCAUUCACUCACGAGUCUAACCAUACUAAUUUUACUCAAAUCCGAUAACAAAAUCCCAUUCAAAACCUCAAAUUUCUAGUCCAAGAACUCUUCCUCAUUUUUCCCAAAUUUCCAUCUCAAAACACUAAUUAAAUGAUGAAAACAAUGAUAUAUUCGUGUAUAUUGACCAAAUCCGAGUUAAAAUCACUUACCCCGAUGUUUUUCCUUGAGAAUCUCUCAAAAAUCGCCUCUCUCCAUGCUCCAAUUUAUCAAAAAUGAAAAAGGGACGAAACCCCAUUUUAUAACUUAAAUUUCUGUCCAGGCGCUGGCCUCGAUUUUCAUGACCUCGAUUUUUCUGGCCUCGAUUUUCAUGACCUCGAUUUUCCUGGUUUCGAUUUUCUUGAUCUCGAUUUUCAUGACCUCGAUUUUCAUGACCUCGAUUUUCUGACUUCGAUUUUCAUGACCUCGAUUUUCAUGACCUCGAUUUUUCCAGCAGAAGUUUCUAGCAGAAAAAUUCCAGUAGCUGUUUUAGUCUAAAUUUUGAUCCGUUAACCAUCCGAAACUCACCCGACGCCCUCGGGACCUCAACCAAAUACACCUACAAGUACUAAAACUUCAUACGAACUUAGUUGAAACCUCAAAUCCCAUAAAAUAACGCUAAAAUCACGAAUCAUACCCCAAUUCAUGCUUGAGAAACUUAAGAAUUUUCAACUUCUACAUUCGAUGCUGAAACCUAUCAAAUCAAUUCCGAUUGACCUCAAAUUUUGCAUACAAGUCAUAAAUGACAUAACAGAUCUAUUAAAAUUGUCAGAACUGGAUUCUGACCACGAUAUCAAAAAGUCAAUUCCCCAGACAAACUUCCCAAAAAUUCAACUUUUGCAAUUUCAAGCCAAAUUCUAUUACGGACUUUAUAAAAGAAUUUCGGACACGCUCCUAAGUCCAAAAUCAUCAUACGAAGCUAUUAGAAUCAUCAAAACUCUAUUCCGGGUUCGUUUACACAUAAUUUGACAUACAAUCACUAUUUUAACUUAAUUUUAAACCUUGGAACUAAGUGUUACAAUUCAUUCCUAAAACCUCACCGGACCCAAACUAAUCACCCCGGCAAGUCACAUAACAACUGUGAAGUAUAAAUUGAGCAAUAAAAUGGGGGAAUAGGGCUACAACUCUCAAAACGACUGGUCGGGUCGUUACAGCAGUCAAAAGACACUUUCCAUCCAUUAAUUUCAAGCUUUCCAACAAACUUCAAUUGAUUCUUCCUCAAACCCGACCUUCACAAUGAUUUGAAUGCAAAGAUUAUUAACCUCCAUGGGUAUGACUAUUCUAGUUCCACAUGAAUUUUGCUCGAGCUUAAUUCCAAAGUGUUUCGAUUCUUUAUUCAUCCUCAAAAGUAUCUUGUUCUCAGUUAUCCAGUUCAAAAUUAAAUCAGUUACUGGCCAAAACUCCACAUGCAUGUCAUGUCACUAGAACUAGCAGGAAAAGAACUAAGCACAGAAUGAAACAAAAAGGACAAACUAUAUUUCAUUGAAUAACAGAUAGAAUGAGAGCUGAAAUCUGGGUUACAACCCUGUAUAACCCAUAUAACAGAAAAGACGACAAAAUAAGCUACCAAGACUCCUCCCUGGCUAAAGAGGAGUGACUUUUCAGUUACCAAGCGACAUCUUAGCCACGGACUAGCACAUAAACAUUACUACGACAUUCAACCAUUUUUAUUUCUAUGGAUUGAGCACUUAAAUUUUGACUUUUGAUCAAACCGCCCCCAUAUUGACUAUCAGAUUUUAGGACUUACAACAUGGGAACUUUCACAGUAACUAAUUUGCCAAAGGGCUUGGACUGUAAUGACCCGGUUGGUCGUUUUGAGAAUUUAAGUCCCGUUCGAUGGCAUAAGGCCCUGAGCAGCUUCAUAUUAUGUGUAUUAACUUGCGUGCAUGGUUAAAUUCAGUUACCGGAUGUUUCAGAGUGAUUUGGGACACUUAGUCCCUAAAACGGAAGUUUAAGUCUUAGGAUUUCGACCGUAGUCGGAAUUAUGUGAAGACGACUUCGGAAUGGAGUUUCGUCGGUUUCAUUAGCUCCGUUGGAUGAUUUUGGACUUAGGAGCAUGUCCGGACUGUAAAUCCGAGGUCUGUAGCUGAUUUAGGCUUGAAAUGGCAAAAGUCAAAUUUUUGGAGUUUUGGACCGGUAGUGGAAUUUUUGAUAUCGGAGUGGGAAUCCGAUUCCGGAAGUUGGAGUAGGUUCGAAAUGUUGAAUAUGACUUGUGUGUAAAAUUUGAGUUCAUUCAAACGUGGUUUGAUAGGUUUCGGCAUCGGUUGUAGGAAUUUAAAGUUUCAAGUUCUUUAAGUUUGAAUUGGAGGAUGAUUCGUGAUUUUAGUGUUAGUUGAUAUAAUUUGAGGGCUCGACUAAGUUCGUAUGGUGUUUAAGGAUUGGUUGGUAUGAUUGGUUCAGGUCCCGGGGGCCUCGGGGUGAGUUUUGGGUGCUUAACGGAUUAAAAGUUUAAUUUGUGUAGCUGCUGAAGUUUUCAGGCAUCUGGUAUUUUCGCGCCUGCGGUGAAGAGACCGCAGAUGCGGGAGCGUACGUGCGGAGAGGCACGCGCAGAAGCGGAAAAGUAGAGGAGUGCCAGGGGUCGUAGGUGCGAGGAAAAUUCUGCAUCUACGAUGCCCGCAUGUGCGAAGAUGGAGGCGCAAGUGCAAGAAGAGCUGGACUUGGCAGUCUCCGCAGGUGCGGAGAAUUUGUGCGCAUCAGCAGACUCGCACGUGCGGAGAUGGAAGCGCAGAUGCGAGAAUUGCGAGUUGGCCUGGGGUCGCAGGUACGAGGAAGUUCCGCAUCUGCGAUACUCGCGGAUGCGCAGAAGGCUCGCAGGUGCGGAGGCUGUGGAAGUUAGUGACUUCCGCAGGUGCGACUGGUUAAACCGCAGGUGCGGUAGGCGCAGGUGCGAGAAAUGAUCGCAGGUGCGAGGAUCGCUAGGCAGAAAGGGGUUGGAAUCGAGGGUUAGUUCAUUUUUCACUCUAUUUUUUAAUUUUUAGCUCGGGAGAAGGCGAUUCUUUGAGGGAUUUUCAGAGGAAUCUUGUGGGUAACGAUUUCUUACUCGAAUUUGGAUUUAUUGCAUUAAUCUAUAGUUGUUUCUCCAUUUAAAUUCGGAUUUUUGGGGUUGAAAUGGGGAAAAAUUGGAAGAACUUCUUCAAUAAAGAUUUUGAGUUUUGAAGGGAGAUUUAUAGUCGGAUUUGAGUAAUUCUUAUAUGGUUGGACUCGUGAGUGAAUGGGUGUUCGUAUUUUGUGAUUUUUACCCGAUUUCAAGAUGUGGGCCCGAGUCGACUUUUUAGGGCGAAUUUCGGAAUUUUUGUUAAAAUAUUAAUUUCAUUGAUUAGAUGAGUCCAUUAUUGUUGUAUUCAUGUUAUGCAAUUGUGUUUGGCUAGAUUUGGGCCAUUCGGAAGGCAUUGUGACCGAUUGUUUUGAGCUUGGUUCGAGGCAAGUAUCUUGCCUAAUCUUGUGUGGGGGAUUUUCUCUUAGGAUUUGAGUCUUCUAUAUUGAUUGUAGUCCAUGUACGCGAGGUGACGAGUACGUGCUCGGACUUAUUUGUGGAAAGUUGGCCUUUUAGGACUCUUAGGUCCUUACAUUCACCGAGUAUGAAGUUGUUCUUGAUGUGAUUAAGUCCCCCACCGAGUAUGAAGGCAUUGUGACCGAUUGUUUUGAGCUUGGUUCGAGGCAAGUAUCUUGCCUAACCUUGUGUGGGGGAUUUUCUCUUAGGAUUUGAGUCUUCUAUAUUAAUUGUAGUCCAUGUACGCGAGGUGACGAGUACGUGCUUGGACUUAUUUGUGGAAAGUUGGCCUUUUAGGAUUCUUAGGUCCUUACAUUCACCAAGUAUGAAGUUGUUCUUGAUGUGAUUAAGUCCCUAUUUACUAGUUUCACCUCUACAUGCUUUAAUUAGAAUUAAUUGCUUCAGGAUUCACUCUUAUUGCCUAUUUGACUCUUAUUUGACUUAACUGAAGAUUUACCUUCUCUAUUGUCAUGCUAUCUUUUCAUAACUACUUAUCUUUAUUUGGAAUUAAUAUAUCGUCCUAUAAUUGUUCUGUCUUAAUUGAGGUUAUGAUUAUUUUUCCGCUGCUUAUCCUUAUUGUUGAAUAUCCUUCGUAAUUUUCUCAACCUUAAAAGAAGUUUAGAUAUCCUAUAUCUUAGUCGACUUGUUUUAUUUGGAAUUAUUUGACUCGUGCUAGCUUCCCUGUUGUUGAGAUGUGUAUUGUGGGAUUGUUGCUACACAUUAGUUUUUCCUUGUUGAGUUGUUCUCUUUACACCUAGCAUUCCAGACUGUGGUUAUUCCUUGUGAAUUGGUUCUACAUUUUCUUAUGAUUUAAAAGUUCUUGAGUUGAUUUAUUUUUCGUACUUUUUAUUAUUGCCAUUGUUGUAUUUGUUGUGGUGAUGCACGAGGUUUCUGCCGUGCGGUUGUUAUCAUUGUGAUGCACGAGGUUUCUGUCGUGCGGUUGUUAUGGGGUUGCACGAGGUUUCUGCAGUGUUAUUGUUACUAUUGAUAUUUGCACAUGCGACGUGAUAUAUAUAUAUAUAUAUAUAUAUAUAUAUGUGUGUGUGUGUGUGUGUGUGUGGUGGNNNNNNNNNNNNNNNNNNNNNNNNNNNNNNNNNNNNNNNNNNNNNNNNNNNNNNNNNNNNNNNNNNNNNNNNNNNNNNNNNNNNNNNNNNNNNNNNNNNNNNNNNNNNNNNNNNNNNNNNNNNNNNNNNNNNNNNNNNNNNNNNNNNNNNNNNNNNNNNNNNNNNNNNNNNNNNNNNNNNNNNNNNNNNNNNNNNNNNNNNNNNNNNNNNNNNNNNNNNNNNNNNNNNNNNNNNNNNNNNNNNNNNNNNNNNNNNNNNNNNNNNNNNNNNNNNNNNNNNNNNNNNNNNNNNNNNNNNNNNNNNNNNNNNNNNNNNNNNNNNNNNNNNNNNNNNNNNNNNNNNNNNNNNNNNNNNNNNNNNNNNNNNNNNAGGGGGAGGGUUGCGCAUGUGACGAGACAAGGUGGGAACAUUAUUUUGCACUGGCGAGACAAGGCGGGCACUUACUUUAUUAUUGCACACGUCGCGAGACAAGGUGGGUUGUGUCAGGGAUUGAUUUGUGAUGAUUUGUGACCUGGGGGCAUUCUUGUUGUUGAUAUUUGUGAAGUGAUAUACAUACCUGUGUGAGCUUUAUCUUGUGAAAGCUGUGAGAAAAUAUCUUACGUGUUGUCCGUUCUUUUUCCUUAUGCUUAUUUGCUGAUAUAGACUAUGGUAGGACACGUGCACAAACAUACACAUAGUUAAGAACUCUUAUCGGAUAAGAGGUGUUCUUGAUAUUGUUGAGCAUAGAUGCUCACCCUUGUUUACUUCCCUUCUAUGUGAGAAUGGCUCUAUUGGCACGUGAGUUGUCAGUGCGGUUAUGAGGGCACAUGAUGCCAAGUGUUAGGGUUCAAGUAUUGAGACCCGUGAGUUGUGAAUUGUCCGAGGUUCGGUUCCUCGUGAAGUUGUUGGCUAAAACCUGAUGUAAAAGCGGUUGUAGUUGCUGCGUUAUUACUUGUCCUUGUUGUAUUUGUUAUUUCGGAUUUAGGUUGGGUUCCAUUCAUUUUUCUGUGUCAUUUUUAUGAUAUUUCACUGACACUGGUUGUUUCCUUCCUUAUUGCCAUUACUGUACUGUGAACCAUAUUGCAUAGUCUUUAUGUAGACAUCAUACUUCAGUUGUUUAUAUACUUGUAUCGGUUUAGUUUAUUAGACUAGUGAGUGUCUUGAUUGUUCCUCGUCACUACCCCACCGAGGUUAGUCUUGAUACUUACUGGUCACCGCUUUGGUGUGCUCAUGCUACUCUUCUGCAUAUUUUAUUUUGUGUAGAUCCAGAAAAUCGUUCGUUAGCUAGCUGUGUGGACUGUUGCUGCGGAGACUCAAGGUAAAGCUGUCGUUGCGUUCGCAGGCUUCGGAGUCACCUUCAACUUUUCGUUUUGCACUGUUUAUUCUUAUUUCUGGACAGUUGUAUUUAUAAGUUUUCUAACAAACACUCUGUAGAGCUUAUGACUUAUACUACCGGUUUUGAAAAUUGCAAGAGAUUCUAUUUAAAUAAUGUUGUUGUUUUAAUUAUUGUUAGGCUUACCUAGUCCUUAAGACUAGGUGCCAUCACAAUACCCAAACGGAGGGAAAAUUGGGUCGUGACAUGGACGAAUUCUCAUGUCUCCCUAUCAUCACAGAUCAUCCAAGCAGAGCGUGUCUUGUUGCACAAAACUGGUAGAAGUCAGCCAACAUUUGCCUUCAUUUUUAUCACCAACUUGUCUACUUGCUUUUUCAUGAUCUUGCAUGGAUCAACAACAAUGGUACUUGUACCACUGGUUGAG
Molecule: long non-coding RNA, 13475 nt
Filed under: Nicotiana tabacum (common tobacco)
Lineage: Eukaryota; Viridiplantae; Streptophyta; Magnoliopsida; Solanales; Solanaceae
Description: long non-coding RNA (NTAB_LNC005432)
Source: RNAcentral